GACGAACGCUGGCGGCGUGCUUAACACAUGCAAGUCGAACGGAAAGGCCCUGCUUUUGUGGGGUGCUCGAGUGGCGAACGGGUGAGUAACGCGUGAGUAACCUGCCCUUGACUUUGGGAUAACUUCAGGAAACUGGGGCUAAUACCGGAUAGGAGCUCCUGCUGCAUGGUGGGGGUUGGAAAGUUUCGGCGGUUGGGGAUGGACUCGCGGCUUAUCAGCUUGUUGGUGGGGUAGUGGCUUACCAAGGCUUUGAUGGGUAGCCGGCCUGAGAGGGUGGCCGGCCACAUUGGGACUGAGAUACGGCCCAGACUCCUACGGGAGGCAGCAGUGGGGAAUAUUGCACAAUGGGCGGAAGCCUGAUGCAGCAACGCCGCGUGCGGGAUGACGGCCUUCGGGUUGUAAACCGCUUUCGCCUGUGACGAAGCGUGAGUGACGGUAAUGGGUAAAGAAGCACCGGCUAACUACGUG
Molecule: ribosomal RNA, 468 nt
Filed under: uncultured bacterium
Lineage: Bacteria
Description: partial 16S ribosomal RNA
Rfam family: Bacterial small subunit ribosomal RNA
Source: RNAcentral